AACGAACGCUGGCGGCAGGCCUAACACAUGCAAGUCGAGCGCGCCCUUCGGGGUGAGCGGCGGACGAGUGAGUAACGCGUGGGAACGUGCCUUUUUCUACGGAAUAGCCUCGGGAAACUGAGAGUAAUACCGUAUACGCCCUUUGGGGGAAAGAUUUAUCGGAAAAGGAUCGGCCCGCGUUGGAUUAGGUAGUUGGUGGGGUAAUGGCCUACCAAGCCGACGAUCCAUAGCUGGUUUGAGAGGAUGAUCAGCCACACUGGGACUGAGACACGGCCCAGACUCCUACGGGAGGCAGCAGUGGGGAAUCUUAGACAAUGGGGGCAACCCUGAUCUAGCCAUGCCGCGUGAGUGAUGAAGGCCUUAGGGUUGUAAAGCUCUUUCAGCUGGGAAGAUAAUGACGGUACCAGCAGAAGAAGCCCCGGCUAACUCCGUG
RNAcentral lists this ribosomal RNA (433 nucleotides) under uncultured bacterium. RNAcentral describes it as "partial 16S ribosomal RNA". It matches the Rfam family "Bacterial small subunit ribosomal RNA", at positions 29 to 507 of the family's 1533-position model. The record is from RNAcentral.